This 406-nucleotide ribosomal RNA is filed under the name uncultured bacterium. RNAcentral describes it as "bacterial SSU rRNA". It matches the Rfam family "Bacterial small subunit ribosomal RNA", at positions 359 to 776 of the family's 1533-position model. The record is from RNAcentral.
GAAUCUUCCGCAAUGGGCGCAAGCCUGACGGAGCGACACCGCGUGCAGGAUGAAGGCCUUCGGGUGGUAAACUGCUGUCACGCUAUAGGAAACCUUCGGGAUGACCAAAGCGAGAGGAAGCACCGGCUACCUCCGUGCCAGCAGCCGCGGUAAGACGGAGGGUGCAAACGUUGUUCGGAAUCACUGGGCAUAAAGCGCACGUAGGCGGUCCGUCCAGUCAGGUGUGAAAGCCCUCGGCUCAACCGAGGAAUUGCACUUGAAACUAGCGGGCUAGAGAACGGUAGGGGUGAGCGGAACUCCAGGUGGAGCGGUGAAAUGCGUAGAUAUCUGGAGGAACACCGGUGGCGAAAGCGGCUCACUGGACCGUCACUGACGCUGAGGUGCGAAAGCCAGGGGAGCAAACGGG